Molecule: ribosomal RNA, 253 nt
Filed under: uncultured bacterium
Lineage: Bacteria
Description: partial 16S ribosomal RNA
Rfam family: Bacterial small subunit ribosomal RNA
Source: RNAcentral
UACGUAGGAUGCAAGCGUUGUCCGGAAUUACUGGGCGUAAAGCGUGCGCAGGCGGUUCGUUGUGUCGGCGGUGAAAGCCCCGGGCUUAACCUGGGAAUGGCCGUCGAAACUGGCGAACUGGAGUGUGGCAGAGGGGGGUGGAAUUCCGCGUGUAGCAGUGAAAUGCGUAGAGAUGCGGAGGAACACCGAUGGCGAAGGCAGCCCCCUGGGCUGACACUGACGCUCAGGCACGAAAGCGUGGGGAGCAAACAGG